This is a long non-coding RNA of Cygnus olor (mute swan), 1761 nucleotides long. RefSeq lists it as uncharacterized. The record is from RefSeq and is a predicted model, not a curated record. The transcript has 4 exons. Lineage: Eukaryota; Metazoa; Chordata; Aves; Anseriformes; Anatidae.
UACAGCCUCUGAUGUACUUACAUCAGUCCUCAUCCUCCUUUGGUGCUACUGCCACCUCCAUCUGCACAGGGGCAGAUGCUGAAGGUUAUCUAACGUCUGUAAGCUGAAAAAUAGAAUCCAGCCUGGAACCUUGGGCUGGCACCUGGACCACUCCACUGCUCGUGGCAAUGCUCCUGUGAAGCUAACAGAGGAAUAAAUCUGAGGAGCAGAGACUUGAGUCUAGACAUACAGAAACCAUACCCAUGGGAGUAUGGAUGUGAAUAAAACAUUUCAUUUUAUGGCCACAGAACCACAGAAAGAGAAAAAAAAAAAAAAAAGCACACCAACUUUGGAGGGUUUAAAAGCUCUUUCAUCAUUACACAAUUGUUCUGCAGAGCUCAAGAAAUCCUCUAGAUUUAGAGCAAUUUUCCAAUCAUAUAGAUAUAUGUUAGUCUUUUUGGAAAUGCUGGUUGGGUUUGGUACAGAGGCUCAGCAAGGAGUCCCACUUGCAUGCCCUGGGAGACAUCCUGGGGAGAGCAUUCAGGGAGCUGCACAGCCCAAAGGCCUGUCCUGGUUGUGUCCUGGCAGCUGACAGCAGAUGUAUGGGGCAGGCAGAUCAAUCCAUCCUUGGAUUCAGAAUCUGCUUUGGUAAAUGUGCAACGUGUGGGCUCGGUAAAAAACAAAGCCCAUUGGCAUAUUUAUGAUAUAUAGCUGGUACACUGUGCUGAAUCCAGAGGAUUUCACAAGAGAAGCUUAAGGAUGCUUCAUCUGCAGUCUCAGACACCAAGAAUUCACAACAAGCUGAAGCCCAGCCAGAUUCCCUCAAAGAGAAGAGAGGCAGCUUUUCCAACAUACUUUGAAACUUCAUUUGCAUUCUACAGCAGCAAAUAAACCAUGAAUAUAACUGGGCAGAGAAGAGGCCUCCUAUCACUCUGAUUUCAUUUGCAGAAUCCCAGGGAGAGUAGGAAAAGCAGUUUGAAUAGAGGAGGGCUCUAAAAUUGCAUUUUUUCUUAUUAUUUGGUCUUUUACAACUGUACUUUCAAUUCUGUAACCAGAAGCUACAUCUUCUUUGUAAUACAGAAACUCAUGCAAGAUUUCAUAUUAAACUUGCUAGCUGUUUUGAGCAAGUACAGCUGGAGAAAGUACAUUUGUCCAAAAGAUAUUAACCCCCACCUACAGAUCAAUUCUCGGGCUGCUGGAAUCUAGAAUGAAUAAGGAAAAUUCACUACGUUGGAACCUUUCUUGCCAAGCUGCAAGGAACAUCUAGAAGUCUGCUUAUCAUCAGCUGCAGGUCUUAGGAGGGCUCCUGAGAGGCACCUGCUGACAAGUAUCAAAGGGACAAUUUGUGUCACUAAGUGACUAAGCUGAAUUACUGGGGUGGUUUUACUAUGAUAGGCAGCUAAACUACACCACAACUGCUCUCACUCCCCCUGCCGCUUCUGUAAGGAAGGAGGGGAUAAAAAUAGAAGAGCUCAAGGUUUGGGAUAAGGACAGGGAGUUCACCCACCAGUUAUUGUCAUGGGCAAAACAGACUCAGGGUAGGGAACUUAAUAUAAUUUAUUGCCUAUGACUAACAGUCUAGAGCAGUGAGAAACUACAAACAAACUGCCCUGUUCUCUUCAAAUACUGCUCCAACACAGCUCUGUACCACGGGAUCCAUGCCCCAGGAGCAAACUGCUCCAACACGGGUCCUCCGUGGGCGGCAGCUCCUCCCAGAUCCCCUGCUCCUGCGUGGGCUCCUCUCCACGGGCUGCAGCUCCGGCCCGGGGCCUGCUCCUGCGG